RNAcentral lists this long non-coding RNA (617 nucleotides) under Anas platyrhynchos platyrhynchos (common mallard). Its description in RNAcentral is "lncRNA (ENSAPLG00000019159.1)". The record is from RNAcentral. Lineage: Eukaryota; Metazoa; Chordata; Aves; Anseriformes; Anatidae.
CUCAAAGCUUGCGGUGUGAAACUGUAGCUUACUGACAAUGAGUCUUGCUUAAGGAUCUUUGAAGGAUUUAUAGGGAAAUGUGAUUUGGAAGAAGCAGAGGAUGGCACUGUUGGACAAAAAUUAUGAGGCAAUACAUCCUGCAAAUCUUGAAUUACAGCACUGCACAACCUUACAGAAAUUGUAUCAGAUGUCUUACAAGAUGCAUAAUCAGGAUAAAGGUUUACGGUGUGUUUUCGAUCAUCAAAAUUUUGCUUGAAGUCAGCAGUCAGAACAGAACUGCUGUGACUGACCUUUUCCUGAACAGCCCUAGAGCUGUAAAAGAUUAAGUUUGAAAUGGGAAAUUUAGCAUGAAUACAGUGGUCCUCACUCAGGGCACAAAUGAAAUUCUAUCAAAAGCUGAAGAAAAUGAAGUAACUAAUGAUGGACUAAGAAGUGAUCAACUCCUUAGAAGAAUCAAACUCCAUAUGGAACCAUUACUUUCUCUGCCAGCUAUAAUGGACCAUCUAAAAACUGAAAUUCUCCUCUUCAUCAGAGGAACAUCCUACAUCCUAAAGGCAUACUUAAAAGACUUCGUCAUGUCUUUUAUAUCUCCUAAGCCCGUGGUAAAAAAAAAAUAA